Molecule: ribosomal RNA, 429 nt
Filed under: Bacteroidota bacterium
Lineage: Bacteria; Pseudomonadati; Bacteroidota
Description: Bacteroidetes bacterium partial 16S ribosomal RNA
Rfam family: Bacterial small subunit ribosomal RNA
Source: RNAcentral
UAGGGAAUCUUCGGCAAUGGGGGGAACCCUGACCGAGCAACGCCGCGUGAGUGAAGAAGGGUUUCGGAUCGUAAAGCUCUGUUGUUAAGGAAGAACGAGUGUGAGAAUGGAAAGUUCAUGCUGUGACGGUACUUAACCAGAAAGGGACGGCUAACUACGUGCCAGCAGCCGCGGUAAUACGUAGGCCCCGAGCGUUUUCCGGAUUUAUUGGGCGUAAAGCGAGCGCAGGCGGUUAGAAAAGUCUGAAGUGAAAGGCAGUGGCUUAACCAUUGUAGGCUUUGGAAACUGUUUAACUUGAGUGCAGAAGGGGAGAGUGGAAUUCCAUGUGUAGCGGUGAAAUGCGUGGAUAUAUGGAGGAACACCGGUGGCGAAAGCGGCUCUCUGGUCUGUAACUGACGCUGAGGCUCGAAAGCGUGGGGAGCGAACAGG